GUUGGAAAAUAAUAAUUUUGGAAAAGAAUUCCAUAGUAAUGCUAUUCCCCAAACUAACGGAAUUGCUUUUCCAUUUUUCAUUUGGUGGAAUUAUAAUUCCAUUCCACUACUUUGGAUAUCAAUAAAUUAUCUCUUUUCUCCUCCAGCCAUAGGCGAAGCCCCACAAACCCUAACCCUAGCAAACUGAAGAUUAAUCUGCCACCAGCCAUUGUUGUGACUGUCUUCUUCGAUCAUCUCUGCAAGUGACGGGUUCCUUGAUUGGUGGUAGCAUUGCCAGAGAGCUUCUAAGGCUACCGGAGAGUCCUUCGCCUUCCUCUCCGUGUUCUCGAGUUUGCUGUUCUUCUCGAGUUUGAAGUUCUUGCUAGUAGUUUUUGCAUCCAUAUGUGUCUAUGGCUUAUUGCAUGGUUCGGCACAUCUCUCGUUCUCACUCCCAAAUCCCAAUUCCAAAGCUAUCAACCCCUCACUACACAACCUUCUCACUUCCUCUCUCUCUCACUUUAUAUAUGUAUAUGACUUUACCACUGCUAUGAUAACUCCAAUACUCGAACCUUCACUUCUCAUUCUCCCUAACAUUCCAAAACCCCUUUCGUUUUCCACCUUCAAAACUCAUCAUUUUCUCUCCUAAACAACCCAUCAUCGACUUUCGCUUAAACUGAAUCCAUGGCUGCACUACCGUCCACCGUUGAUUCUGUAAACUCAAACGUGUCCCAGAUGAUGAGAAGGAUGAAUGGGCGAGACUUCUGAUUGAUGACUCUCUUUAGUACACAGCUCGGGAAAGAGUUAGAAAGAUCAUGUUUAUUCACUUUGAUCUAAAAUAAUUUGCAGAACAAUGUAUAUUGCCUUUGACAUUCAGUAGUAUACAAAUUAUAAUCUUUUGGAUC
Cannabis sativa is the source of this 881-nucleotide long non-coding RNA. RefSeq lists it as uncharacterized. The record is from RefSeq and is a predicted model, not a curated record. The transcript has 4 exons. Lineage: Eukaryota; Viridiplantae; Streptophyta; Magnoliopsida; Rosales; Cannabaceae.